This 397-nucleotide ribosomal RNA is filed under the name uncultured Actinomycetes bacterium. RNAcentral describes it as "bacterial SSU rRNA". It matches the Rfam family "Bacterial small subunit ribosomal RNA", at positions 975 to 1375 of the family's 1533-position model. The record is from RNAcentral. Lineage: Bacteria; Bacillati; Actinomycetota; Actinomycetes.
CAAGGCUUGACAUAUACAGGAAUAUGGCAGAGAUGUCAUAGCCGCAAGGUCUGUAUACAGGUGGUGCAUGGUUGUCGUCAGCUCGUGUCGUGAGAUGUUGGGUUAAGUCCCGCAACGAGCGCAACCCUCGUUCUGUGUUGCCAGCAUUUAGUUGGGGACUCACAGGAGACUGCCGGGGUUAACUCGGAGGAAGGUGGGGAUGACGUCAAAUCAUCAUGCCCCUUAUGUCUUGGGCUGCACGCAUGCUACAAUGGCUGGUACAAACGGCUGCGAUACCGCAAGGUGGAGCGAAUCCGAGAAAGCCAGUCUCAGUUCGGAUUGGGGUCUGCAACUCGACCCCAUGAAGUCGGAGUUGCUAGUAAUCGUAGAUCAGCAACGCUACGGUGAAUACGUUCCC